GUCCACGCCGUAAACUAUCAAUACUCGUUUUCAGCGAUAUACUGUUGGAGACUAAGCGAAAGUGAUAAGUAUUGCACCUGGGGAGUACGAUCGCAAGGUUGAAACUCAAAGGAAUUGACGGGGGCCCGCACAAGCGGUGGAGCAUGUGGUUUAAUUCGAUGAUACGCGAGGAACCUUACCAGGGCUUAAAUGUAGAUGGAAUGAUGUGGAAACAUGUCAGCCUUCGGGCCGUCUACAAGGUGCUGCAUGGCUGUCGU
Molecule: ribosomal RNA, 257 nt
Filed under: uncultured bacterium
Lineage: Bacteria
Description: partial 16S ribosomal RNA
Rfam family: Bacterial small subunit ribosomal RNA
Source: RNAcentral